UUUUACGAUUCUUAACAACAUUAUGUUACUUGUUCUACUUCUAUUGGGAUUAUAUCACAGUAAUUACUCGAAAAUUUGUGCAAAAAAAAUAAACGAAAUCGACAAGACGCUUCAAACGUUAGGUUCACCGUCAUAUUUCAACAGCAUUUAUAAAAGAACGAUAUGUGAAAUUACGAUCGUUAUUAUUUACUUAAUUAUACAAAACAUUGUAAUCGCCGCUGGAAUGAUUUCAUACAAUACCUUAAAUACCAGUUUUUUGUUCAUAUUUUCUUGUAUAUUUUUUUAUUUUUAUUUUGCUCUGGUAGAAUUUAUGACGUUGAUUGAUUUUAUUACAGUUGUAAGGUGCAUUAAAUCGGAAUUUAAACGUGGAAACGAACUUUUAAGCGACGUUAAUGUUUUACCGAUUUCUUCAAUCGCAUCGGAAAUAAUUGAUCGCAAACAAACCCAUGAUGGUUCUUUGUACAUUGA
Polistes dominula (European paper wasp) is the source of this 468-nucleotide long non-coding RNA. Lineage: Eukaryota; Metazoa; Arthropoda; Insecta; Hymenoptera; Vespidae. The record is from RefSeq and is a predicted model, not a curated record.